Molecule: ribosomal RNA, 254 nt
Filed under: uncultured bacterium
Lineage: Bacteria
Description: partial 16S ribosomal RNA
Rfam family: Bacterial small subunit ribosomal RNA
Source: RNAcentral
UACGGAGGGGGCUAGCGUUGUUCGGAAUUACUGGGCGUAAAGCGCGCGUAGGCGGCUUUGUAAGUUAGAGGUGAAAGCCCGGAGCUCAACUCCGGAAUUGCCUUUAAGACUGCAUCGCUAGAAUCAUGGAGAGGUGAGUGGAAUUCCGAGUGUAGAGGUGAAAUUCGUAGAUAUUCGGAAGAACACCAGUGGCGAAGGCGAACUCACUGGACAUGUAUUGACGCUGAGGUGCGAAAGCGUGGGGAGCAAACAGG